This 433-nucleotide ribosomal RNA is filed under the name uncultured bacterium. Its description in RNAcentral is "partial 16S ribosomal RNA". It matches the Rfam family "Bacterial small subunit ribosomal RNA", at positions 29 to 507 of the family's 1533-position model. The record is from RNAcentral.
AACGAACGCUGGCGGCAUGCCUAACACAUGCAAGUCGAACGAGACCUUCGGGUCUAGUGGCGCACGGGUGCGUAACGCGUGGGAACCUGCCCUUAGGUUCGGAAUAACUCCCCGAAAGGGGUGCUAAUACCGGAUAAUGUCUUCGGACCAAAGAUUUAUCGCCUUUGGAUGGGCCCGCGUUGGAUUAGCUAGUUGGUAGGGUAAAAGCCUACCAAGGCGACGAUCCAUAGCUGGUCUGAUAGGAUGAUCAGCCACACUGGGACUGAGACACGGCCCAGACUCCUACGGGAGGCAGCAGUGGGGAAUAUUGGACAAUGGGCGAAAGCCUGAUCCAGCAAUGCCGCGUGAGCGAUGAAGGCCUUAGGGUUGUAAAGCUCUUUUACCCGGGAUGAUAAUGACAGUACCGGGAGAAUAAGCUCCGGCUAACUCCGUG